UGGCGAAGCUGUGCUUGCACAGCCUAGCCAAGGCGGAUGGGUGAGUAACGCGUAAGGAACUUGCCCUGCAGUCAGGGAUAACAGACGGAAACGACUGAUAAGACCUGGUAAAGUCAGGCGGACUCAUGUCCAGCCUGAUGAAAAGAGAUGCUGCAGGAGAGCCUUGCGUCCUAUUAGCUUGUUGGUGGGGUGACGGCCCACCAAGGCGAUGAUAGGUAGCCGGCCUGAGAGGGUGGACGGCCACAAGGGGACUGAGAUACGGCCCUUACUCCUACGGGAGGCAGCAGUGGGGAAUAUUGGACAAUGGGGGCAACCCUGAUCCAGCAAUUCUGUGUGCACGAUGAAGGUUUUCGGAUUGUAAAGUGCUUUCAGCAGGGAAGAAAAAAAUGACGGUACCUGCAGAAGAAGCGACGGCUAAAUACGUGCCAGCAGCCGCGGUAAUACGUAUGUCGCAAGCGUUAUCCGGAAUUAUUGGGCAUAAAGGGCAUCUAGGCGGCCAGAUAAGUCUGGGGUGAAAACUUGCGGCUCAACCGCAAGCCUGCCCUGGAAACUAUGUGGCUAGAGUACUGGAGAGGUGGACGGAACUGCACGAGUAGAGGUGAAAUUCGUAGAUAUGUGCAGGAAUGCCGAUGAUGAAGAUAGUUCACUGGACGGUAACUGACGCUGAAGUGCGAAAGCUAGGGGAGCAAACAGGAUUAGAUACCCUGGUAGUCCUAGCUGUAAACGAUGAUUACUGGGUGUGGGCAUGAAGAGUGUCCGUGCCGAAGC
This 768-nucleotide ribosomal RNA is filed under the name uncultured Leptotrichia sp. RNAcentral describes it as "bacterial SSU rRNA". It matches the Rfam family "Bacterial small subunit ribosomal RNA", at positions 66 to 852 of the family's 1533-position model. Lineage: Bacteria; Fusobacteriati; Fusobacteriota; Fusobacteriia; Fusobacteriales; Leptotrichiaceae. The record is from RNAcentral.